This 86-nucleotide transfer RNA is filed under the name Calymperes afzelii. RNAcentral describes it as "tRNA-Leu". It matches the Rfam family "tRNA". Rfam says of the family: Transfer RNA (tRNA) molecules are approximately 80 nucleotides in length. Their secondary structure includes four short double-helical elements and three loops (D, anti-codon, and T loops). Further hydrogen bonds mediate the characteristic L-shaped molecular structure. tRNAs have two regions of fundamental functional importance: the anti-codon, which is responsible for specific mRNA codon recognition, and the 3' end, to which the tRNAs corresponding amino acid is attached (by aminoacyl-tRNA synthetases). tRNAs cope with the degeneracy of the genetic code in two manners: having more than one tRNA (with a specific anti-codon) for a particular amino acid; and 'wobble' base-pairing, i.e. permitting non-standard base-pairing at the 3rd anti-codon position. RNAcentral also lists the same sequence under 2 other names. The record is from RNAcentral. Lineage: Eukaryota; Viridiplantae; Streptophyta; Bryopsida; Dicranales; Calymperaceae.
GGGGAUAUGGCGGAAUUGGUAGACGCUACGGACUUGAAAAUCCGUUGGCUUUAUUGACCGUGAGGGUUCAAGUCCCUCUAUCCCCA